UGGCAGCAAUGAUGUAUCCCAGAAUUAGGGCUUGGCUUCAGUUUGCAUCAUAGCGGGGGAUUGUUGUCAGUAGUUUGGUCCUCAGGUUAGCUGUUGCUUGGUUUUAUGCAGAUCGUUUCUGUCAAGAGAAUGAUUUCUUUGGAGUUAUUUUGUUUGUGUGUUAAUGGUAGUAAAUGGAGACACCGAAGAUGUCUUCAGGAGGUGAGAAAAAAGGUUUUAGGAUUAGCUGGUGGCUGUGGGAGGUACCACUGGAAGGAGCCAUGCACGUGUACCUCCAAGUACUUCCUGUUCAACAUGACUCCCAGCUGGCUUCCAAGGCAACAACUCUGUUGCUUCCUUCUUCUCCUUGGAGCUGAAACCUUCUGCAAAGAAGGCAGAAGAAACAAGUCAAGAGCAAGGAAGCUGAUACACCCACCAGACUGACCAUUAGAGCUCUGCUGAAGUGGCAGCUGUGUUCCUGCACGCAACCAUGAAACUACAAUUGAGCUGUUUCCAGCUUCAUGGUCUUUCUUACAAAUCUGCAGAAUCUUUACUUUAAAAUACUAAUACUAAUAGAAUAGAAUAAAAAUUGGUGAAAG
This 578-nucleotide long non-coding RNA is filed under the name Phasianus colchicus (ring-necked pheasant). Its description in RNAcentral is "lncRNA (ENSPCLG00000006341.1)". Lineage: Eukaryota; Metazoa; Chordata; Aves; Galliformes; Phasianidae. The record is from RNAcentral.